GACAAAGACAGACAGAAACAGUGAGUCAGCGUCACCUCCGCCUCUCUGGGUGCAAGUCUUGGUCCAGUUCCAGGAAAGGGACUGCUUCCUGUGGCCAGGACGCCCUCUUCUGUUGAUGCACCUGUAUUAAUUUUGGGUUAUGAGUGACCUCACAGAAGAAUUGAUUGCCAUUUUUGAAGGUGUUUCCAAAGACUGACAACUCUUAUGGCAGCUUUGGAUACAGAAGAAAAAGCAGAUGUGGCAAAGAAUAACUCAUAAUAAGAAACCAUCAUCCUUUAGAGGAUCUAAAAGUACAAUAAAUGUUGCACAUGGGAGAAUCCAGUUUGCCAAUAUAUGUGCUACAAUAAGUACACCAAUCUUGAAGAUCAAUUUUAUUCCCCAUCCCCAGUUGCAUUCGGUUUAUGGAAUUGAAGCUUUUGGGGAUAUAUACAGUUUAAGGCCCCAAUCCUGCAAACUUUUACACAUGUGCUUAAUGCUAAGCCCCUGAAAGG
Dermochelys coriacea (leatherback sea turtle) is the source of this 491-nucleotide long non-coding RNA. RefSeq lists it as uncharacterized. The transcript is spliced from 4 exons. The record is from RefSeq and is a predicted model, not a curated record. Lineage: Eukaryota; Metazoa; Chordata; Testudines; Dermochelyidae.